GAUGAAGAACGUAGCGAAAUGCGAUAAGUAGUGUGAAUUGCAGAAGUACCGUGAAUCAUCGAAUCUUUGAACGCAAAUUGCACUCUCUGGUAUUCCGGGGAGUAUGCCUGUUUGAGGGUCGCUUAACAAACCAUCGAUUUCGUUGCUUUUUUUUUUAAAAAAGUGAUGUUUAUCGGAUUUGAGCCGUCUUUUUUUUUAUAUUUAAGUGGCUUAAAAUUGAUUUUUUUGGUACGAUCGAAGCGUAUUUUUAUGAUCAAUUUUUGGUUAAAGAAACGCACACGUACCGUUAUUUAUAUGAUGUAAUACGUUUGACUAUUGGAUUUAGUUCAUUCGUAUACGAUAUUUUUCAAUAUUUGACCUCAAAUCAGGUAAGAACACCCGCUGAACUUAAGCAUAUCAAUAAGCGGAGGA
RNAcentral lists this unclassified non-coding RNA (411 nucleotides) under soil metagenome. RNAcentral describes it as "partial contains 5.8S ribosomal RNA, internal transcribed spacer 2, and large subunit ribosomal RNA". The stretch from base 1 to 121 matches the Rfam family "5.8S ribosomal RNA", at positions 35 to 154 of the family's 154-position model. The record is from RNAcentral.